GACGUAGGGGGCCAGCGUUGCUCGGAAUUACUGGGCGUAAAGGGUUCGUAGGCGGUGCGGUAAGUCGGAAGUGAAAUCUCUGGGCUUAACUCAGAGGCUGCUUUCGAAACUGCCGUGCUGGAGUGCGGGAGAGGCGAGUGGAAUUGCAGGUGUAGCGGUGAAAUGCGUAGAUAUCUGCAGGAACACCCGUGGCGAAGGCGGCUCGCUGGACCGCAACUGACGCUGAGGAACGAAAGCUAGGGGAGCAAACAGG
This 253-nucleotide ribosomal RNA is filed under the name uncultured bacterium. Its description in RNAcentral is "partial 16S ribosomal RNA". It matches the Rfam family "Bacterial small subunit ribosomal RNA", at positions 524 to 776 of the family's 1533-position model. The record is from RNAcentral. RNAcentral also lists the same sequence under 1 other name.